This 353-nucleotide ribosomal RNA is filed under the name Mortierella sp. OTU-893. Its description in RNAcentral is "eukaryotic LSU rRNA". The stretch from base 1 to 71 matches the Rfam family "5.8S ribosomal RNA", at positions 84 to 154 of the family's 154-position model. The record is from RNAcentral. Lineage: Eukaryota; Fungi; Mortierellomycota; Mortierellomycetes; Mortierellales; Mortierellaceae.
GUGAGUCAUCGAAUCUUUGAACGCACAUUGCACUCUCUGGUAUUCCGGAGAGUAUGCUUGUUUGAGUAUCUGUAAACAUCUCAAAUCUCUUUGCGCUUGCGCAUAAGAGACUUGGAUUUGAGCGAUCCCGACUCCUUCGACAGAAAGAGGAGGGUCGCUUGAAAUGCAGGUGCAGCUGGACAUUCUUCUGAGCUAAAAGCAUAUCUAUUUAGUCCCGUCAAACGGAUUAUUACUUUUGCUUCAGCUAAUACAAAGGUCGAAUGAACUACCAACGCUGAUUGCAGGAAAACUCGUUUUUUUACUAAAACUUGUAAACUCGAUCUCAAAUCAAGUAAGACUACCCGCUGAACUUA